GCGGAGGAAAAGAAACCAACAGGGAUUGCCUCAGUAACGGCGAGUGAAGCGGCAACAGCUCAAAUUUGAAAUCUGGCCCUAGGCCCGAGUUGUAAUUUGCAGAGGAUGCUUUUGGUGCGGUGCCUUCCAAGUUCCCUAGAACGGGACGCCAGAGAGGGUGAGAGCCCCGUACAGUUGGACACCAAGCCUUUGUAAAGCUCCUUCGACGAGUCGAGUAGUUUGGGAAUGCUGCUCAAAAUGGGAGGUAUAUUUCUUCUAAAGCUAAAUACCGGCCAGAGACCGAUAGCGCACAAGUAGAGUGAUCGAAAGAUGAAAAGCACUUUGAAAAGAGGGUUAAACAGCACGUGAAAUUGUUAAAAGGGAAGCGCUUGUGACCAGACUUGCGUCCGGUGAAUCACCCAGCUCUCGCGGCUGGGGCACUUCGCCGGCUCAGGCCAGCAUCAGCUCGCUGUCGGGGACAAAAGCUUCAGGAACGUAGCUCUCUUCGGGGAGUGUUAUAGCCUGUUGCAUAAUACCCUUCGGCGGGCUGAGGUACGCGCUCCGCAAGGAUGCUGGCAUAAUGGUCAUCAGCGACCCGUCUUGAAACACGGACCAAGGAGUCAACCUUAUGUGCGAGUGUUCGGGUGUCAAACCCCUACGCGUAAUGAAAGUGAACGCAGGUGAGAGCUUCGGCGCAUCAUCGACCGAUCCUGAUGUUCUCGGAUGGAUUUGAGUAAGAGCAUAUAGGGUUGGACCCGAAAGAAGGUGAACUAUGCGUGUAUAGGGUGAAGCCAGAGGAAACUCUGGUGGAGGCUCGCAGCGGUUCUGACGUGCAAAUCGAUCGUCAAAUAUG
RNAcentral lists this small RNA (832 nucleotides) under Colletotrichum gloeosporioides. Its description in RNAcentral is "eukaryotic LSU rRNA". It matches the Rfam family "Eukaryotic large subunit ribosomal RNA", at positions 50 to 913 of the family's 3401-position model. Lineage: Eukaryota; Fungi; Ascomycota; Sordariomycetes; Glomerellales; Glomerellaceae. The record is from RNAcentral.